UAGGUAAGUCCACUAAUUAACAAACUAGGCAACAUGGGUAUAUUUCUGAAAGUGAAAGAUAUCUAAAGAAAAAAUCUUCUUGUAGCAUCAGAUCUUUCUCUUAAUAGCUUAUUGAAUUCCGUAGGUUAGACAGUAAGCUAGGAUGCUCUUCACUUGAAAUCACAGUACAGUAAGCAGCUAAGAUAAUGCAUACAUUUUCUUAAAUGUACAACAAAAUUAGGAAACCCCCAACACAAAAUUCCAUAGUUCACAGUAAUAUAUAUAUAUAUAUAUAUAUAUAUAUAUAGAUCAGUU
RNAcentral lists this long non-coding RNA (294 nucleotides) under Nicotiana benthamiana. RNAcentral describes it as "long non-coding RNA (NBEN_LNC037125)". The record is from RNAcentral. Lineage: Eukaryota; Viridiplantae; Streptophyta; Magnoliopsida; Solanales; Solanaceae.